GUCUGAGAUGAAGCACUGUAGCUC
RNAcentral lists this microRNA (24 nucleotides) under Eptesicus fuscus (big brown bat). RNAcentral's name for it is "efu-miR-143". Its record names the gene efu-miR-143. Lineage: Eukaryota; Metazoa; Chordata; Mammalia; Chiroptera; Vespertilionidae. The record is from miRBase by way of RNAcentral.